UGUGUGCAUCCUGUGACAUCUGUCCCAGAG
RNAcentral lists this non-coding RNA (30 nucleotides) under Rattus norvegicus (Norway rat). Lineage: Eukaryota; Metazoa; Chordata; Mammalia; Rodentia; Muridae. The record is from RNAcentral.